UACAGAGGGUGCGAGCGUUAAUCGGAAUUACUGGGCGUAAAGCGUGCGCAGGCGGUUCGCUGUGUCCGAUGUGAAAGCCCCAGGCUUAACCUGGGAAUGGCAUUGGAAACUGGCGGGCUUGAGUGCGGCAGAGGGGGGUGGAAUUCCGCGUGUAGCAGUGAAAUGCGUAGAGAUGCGGAGGAACACCGAUGGCGAAGGCAGCCCCCUGGGUCGACACUGACGCUCAGGCACGAAAGCGUGGGGAGCAAACGGG
Molecule: ribosomal RNA, 253 nt
Filed under: uncultured bacterium
Lineage: Bacteria
Description: partial 16S ribosomal RNA
Rfam family: Bacterial small subunit ribosomal RNA
Source: RNAcentral